This is a small nuclear RNA of Delphinapterus leucas (beluga whale), 107 nucleotides long. The record is from Ensembl. NCBI's taxonomy places the organism in Eukaryota, Metazoa, Chordata, Mammalia, Artiodactyla, Monodontidae.
GUGCUUGCUUUGGCAGCACAUAUACUAAAACUGGGACAAUAGAGAGAAAAUUUGCAUGGCUCCCAUGCAAGGAUGACAUACAAAUUCAUGAAGCAUUCCAUAUUUCU